This 475-nucleotide ribosomal RNA is filed under the name Centipeda dianae. Its description in RNAcentral is "bacterial SSU rRNA". It matches the Rfam family "Bacterial small subunit ribosomal RNA", at positions 28 to 474 of the family's 1533-position model. Lineage: Bacteria; Bacillati; Bacillota; Negativicutes; Selenomonadales; Selenomonadaceae. The record is from RNAcentral.
GACGAACGCUGGCGGCGUGCUUAACACAUGCAAGUCGAACGGAGCGAAUGAAAGCUUGCUUUUAUGAGCUUAGUGGCAAACGGGUGAGUAACACGUAGACAACCUGCCGACAGGAUGGGGACAACAUUCCGAAAGGAAUGCUAAUACCGAAUGAAGUGUAGGGGAGGCAUCUCCUCUACAUGAAAGAUGGCCUCUAUUUAUAAGCUAUCACCUGUCGAUGGGUCUGCGUCUGAUUAGCUAGUUGGUGAGGUAACGGCUCACCAAGGCGACGAUCAGUAGCCGGUCUGAGAGGAUGAACGGCCACAUUGGGACUGAGACACGGCCCAGACUCCUACGGGAGGCAGCAGUGGGGAAUCUUCCGCAAUGGGCGCAAGCCUGACGGAGCAACGCCGCGUGAGUGAAGAAGGUCUUCGGAUCGUAAAGCUCUGUUGACGGGGACGAACGUGCGAGAGGUGAAUAAACUCUUGCAAUGACG